Long non-coding RNA from Pungitius pungitius (ninespine stickleback), 2225 nucleotides. RefSeq lists it as uncharacterized. The record is from RefSeq and is a predicted model, not a curated record. The transcript has 4 exons. NCBI's taxonomy places the organism in Eukaryota, Metazoa, Chordata, Actinopteri, Perciformes, Gasterosteidae.
ACAAACUAUCUCAAACAGCUGACGUGAGGUGAUAACAGUGCUGUAAAACUUGAUUUGAUGUGUGAAGUCAUUCAAAAGAUGUUAAAGGAUCUUAAUAAGUAAUUAUAUAAGUAAUUUAAUUUGCAGUGUAUAUAAUAGUGUGGGGUUGUGUGCACACGUUACAAUGUGAUCAUUUAGAGGAGUUUCUAGAAGGGCUCAAUAAGCAGAUAGCUGUGUUUUGGGGGGUUUUCAUGGGGCCAGAAGUUACGAUGCCAACCAUGCAGACCGAAUAAUAUAAGGAUUGCACUGGUCAGACACUCUGCCUUGGUAAUUGAUCCCAGCAUGUAGAUAAUAAUGCGUAUGUUCUCCUUUGUGCAUUUUGAUAGUCUUGUUAUUUGCUUUCAUCUAGUUUGUAGACUUGGUUCUGCAAUAACAAGUGUUAAGGAAACCAGGGCCCUGUACUAUAUAGCAGGAUUCAGGGUAACAGCUAACAGUUUCACUCUGGGUUUCUGAUAUUCUCUUAUUACCCAGUAAAUUGCUAAGAUCAUUUAUGCUGAACUUAAAACCUCCUCUAGAGAAUGUGAUGUUAGAAAUAAGAGAUCAACUCACAGCAUCUAUCAGUAAGUGGAGCUUUCUUGUUCGGUAGUUAAUAUUACACAAAUACUAAGUGGUCAAAGUCAUAAUCCUGACCAAGUAACACAGUUUAAACAGAUUCUAAAACAGACUUCUGGCAACAAAUCACUGUCUGUGCUAAUGUGUGUCAAUUUAUAGAUUCAUUAUAUCACUGCUUCAUCUAGAUCCCGAUAAGGUUGGCUAAAACGACGUGUGUGUGUGUGUGUGUGUGUGCGCAGUUACUUUCAGGCUGAAUAUAUGUUUAAGCCUCUCCACUUUUGUCAAAUAUUAUAGUUGUGCAUUUAUAUGUGUCGCUUGGCUGACAGCAUACUUGUCUGGGUUUUCGAUUUAAAGCUGGGAUUCAGAGUUGGUGAUCGGAAAAUUGAUUACAACUAUGGUGGUGAUUCACAAUGGCCAUUGCGUCAAAAGGUGACAAACUAUGAGGCCCCUGCUGUGGCUAUAGAGACAGAAGACACCCUUUCAAAUCUGUCUUCCCAUGAGGAAUCCAAUGGAGAGGAAGCCAUAGCCCAGAUACCACUAUGGUAGAAAUGGAUGUGUCAGAAGAUGACCGUGUGACAUCCCAGCAACAACGUCCACAGUGUAUCCCCAAAACCGCCCAAAAAAGUAAUUGGAAAGAAAAGGUAAACAAACUGCUAUCAAAAGAACCUGGACACCGGAGGAAGCGGCAGCGGUGAACAGGCAUCUACGGAGAUGCAUUACCAUGAACAGUGUUCCAGGCAAAGAGGAGUGUCAACAGUGCAUUAAUGCAGACCCUGAAGCUCUCCGAAUGCGAGACUGGAAGGCAUAUAGAAUCACUACUUUGAGACGAAAGUAUGAGUGUGAACUUGCUGAUGCACCAUCAUAUUGACAGUGUUAACAGUCUCUUCUUGUGAGGCCUCUUUGUAGGCAAUGAUAAAGUUAAUCUUGUCCCAGUGACUUUUAUUUCUGAACUCUGAACAAUUGUCCAAUGAGUAACUGAAACUAUUCCGCGCCCCCACAAUCAAACGCCUGCAUGGGGAGAUUUUAGCUUUUACUUUACUAAGUUAAUAAAGACAAGAGAACAUAUUAUGUGUUAAGGAGUUUAUUUUAUGCAAUGUCGUUUGAGAAAUGGUACUAGGAAAGCGUUGAGUAGUGUUGAGCUGUAGUUCAUUAUAUUAAUGAAAUUUUAAUGCCCCAUAUACCUUAUGAUGAUCUUUGGUUACAAUGACAUCGAGCCCUACAAUGUCUUUGAUAAGCAACAAAAAAUAUGUAAACAUGUUAUUUCAAUCAGAAGACAUUGUGUCUUGCGAAGAUACAAAGUCUAGAAAUGGUUGUCUUGCUAAGAUAUUAAAACUAGGAUUGUGUAUGUGUGUGUGAAAGUGGGACUCGCAAGUUUUGAAUGUUAGAAACAGAACCCCACAAAGUGACAAAAAAACUAGCAAGAGAAAAAAAGUUCUGAAUUUUAACAAAUUAAAGUGAUGGUAAUUAUAUAGAUUUUUUUUUCAUCUUACUGGAUUUUUUUCAGUGUUGUAGCACUGCCAGAAAGGGUGGAUCCCACAUUUGGGUAAAAUAAGUUCGGGCCCUACAAAGGAGGAACACGAGUAUGUGUGUGUGUGUGUGUGUGUGUGUGUGUGUGUGUGUGUGUGUGUUUUCAU